CAUAAGCCUGAUGCCUACAAGGACACCCAUGAGUUCGCUCGCAGGGAGUGGAGUGUAUGUGUGUAGGGGAUGUGUUAUGUGUUACUGUAGAGGAUGUACAGAGGAUGUAGAGGAUGCAUUGUAUGUUUCAGUGUGUGUGUGAGUAGGGAUUAUGUUUCUGUGCAUGUGUGUUUCUGUGUAUGUGUAAGGAUGCAUUGUGUAUGUGUGUGGGGUAUGAUUAAGGCUGAGAGGGGAGCAGC
Non-coding RNA from Pelobates cultripes (western spadefoot toad), 239 nucleotides. NCBI's taxonomy places the organism in Eukaryota, Metazoa, Chordata, Amphibia, Anura, Pelobatidae. The record is from the annotation of a GenBank genome assembly.